GUCUUCACAUAAAGUCAGUAGAGCUAUAUCAUUUUUAUCAACUGAGAAACUGGCUUUCAAAUUGUAAUGAGAGCUUUGGACUGUAAGAAAGGACAGCCUCUGCCUGGAAGGUUGCACAACAUCUAGCACCACAGGACCUCAAUACUAUUUGGGGUUUCUGGGUGCUACUGUGAUCUUAAAACAAAAUUCUUGUUUUCCAGACAGUUCUAUGUAGUGUGAUACAGCCAAGCUAUCGCUAUGAAAAGGAUUUAACUUCACUGAAAUAUCAAUCUGUCUGUAUAAUGGAAGAACAGUGUAGCUAUUUGCAAUUCCCUCCUAUCACCUCACAGGAUGGAAUAACCACAUGUAUCUGUCUCUCCACCCUACAUCAUAGAGAGGUUUGAUACUCUCACUGAGAGGGAUCAAAGGACAGUCAAGAUGGUUAAGCCUGAAAAGAUACAAGCUCCCCGGUGCUGAUACACAGAGUCGAACAGAAGAUAACUUUUAAAGGAUACAAAGAAUCCUUCAAUCUCUCUGAAGAAGUUUUCAACUUCACAUGUUAUACAUUCUCCAAGUAGCAGAUAUUUUUUAAACUAUAUAUUUUUCUCUCACUUCUCCUUAGUUUGUCUGAUUCCACUGCAGAGAGCACACUCUGCAAGCUUAUUGCACUAUGCCCUCUAGCAGUAGCCUUUUCCUAAAAUCUGUCAGGUUGUGUUUAGAUGUCAAGGUCAUACAGCAGAAGAAACAUGAAAGGGAUGGAAAAUGGCUUGCAUUCCAGUGACUCCUUUUGGAUGCCUUCACGCAGAAAAAAUAAAAUAAAAUGGGGCACUUAACUGUUGUAAACUCUUAAGACAAGAUCCCCUUAUGAAGUCACUGGAAUGCUAUGCAGUAUCCAUAAGUACUCACGCUCUUUUGGCUACUUACAUAAGAGCUUUGGUUUACUGUAGAUAGUAGGUA
Alligator sinensis (Chinese alligator) is the source of this 936-nucleotide long non-coding RNA. RefSeq lists it as uncharacterized. NCBI's taxonomy places the organism in Eukaryota, Metazoa, Chordata, Crocodylia, Alligatoridae. The record is from RefSeq and is a predicted model, not a curated record. The transcript is spliced from 4 exons.